GCGCGGGUUCUCGCGUGCGUGCAGCACGUUUCCUCUCGCCCACCCCGCCCUUUUUGGUCACUCAGAGGCGCGCAGCGGGCGCACGGCGAUUGGCUCCCUCGGUGGCGGCGCCACAGGACCCGCGAACUGCGUGAGCGGAGUGGGCCCUUAAGGAUCCCGUGGCUCCACAGUGUUGGUGGCUGCAGCAGCAGCAACAGCAGCAGCAGCGACAGCAGCAGCAGGAGCAGCGGAGGCAGCUGGAGCAGCAGCGGAGGCAGCUGGAGCAGCAGCAGCAGCAGAGGCAGUGGUGGUGACUACUGAGCACUGAGCACGUUUGGUUAGUUGCCCAAGAUGCCAAAUAUCAAAAUCUUCAGUGGGAGCUCCCACCAGGACUUAUCCCAGAAAAUAGCUGACCGCCUAGGCCUGGAGCUGGGCAAGGUGGUGACUAAGAAAUUCAGCAAUCAGGAGACCUGUGUGGAAAUUGGGGAAAGUGUUCGUGG
This 479-nucleotide long non-coding RNA is filed under the name Rattus norvegicus (Norway rat). RNAcentral describes it as "long non-coding RNA NONRATT024293". Lineage: Eukaryota; Metazoa; Chordata; Mammalia; Rodentia; Muridae. The record is from RNAcentral.